This 2060-nucleotide ribosomal RNA is filed under the name human gut metagenome. RNAcentral's name for it is "bacterial LSU rRNA". It matches the Rfam family "Bacterial large subunit ribosomal RNA", at positions 1 to 2054 of the family's 2925-position model. The record is from RNAcentral.
ACAAGUUGACAAGAGCAUCGGGUGGAUGCCUUGGCGUCGGAAGGCGAUGAAAGACGUGGUAAGCUGCGAAAAGCCUCGGGGAGAAGCUAAACAUUCUGUGAUCCGGGGAUUUCUGAAUGGGGAAACCCGGCGGAGGUCAUGCUCCGUCGCGGGCACUUGAAUACAUAAAGUGUCCAGCGCCAACUCAGGGAAGUGAAACAUCUCAGUACCUGAAGGAAAAGAAAUCAAACGAGACUCCCAAAGUAGCGGCGAGCGAAAUGGGAUGAGCCCAAACCGGCUGGAUUCGUUCAGCCGGGGUUGUAGGGCCGGCAUAUGUGAUUCAUGAGUAGGCAGGGGAAAUGAGCUGGAAAGCUCUGCCAGAGCGGGUGACAGCCCCGUACCUGAAACCGAAAGCGACACAGCCGGUACCUGAGUACCGCGAGACACGUGGAACCUCGUGGGAAUCCGGGAGGACCAUCUUCCAAGGCUAAGUACUAACCGACGACCGAUAGUGUACCAGUACCGUGAGGGAAAGGUGAAAAGAACCUCUGUUAGAGGAGUGAAAUAGAAUCUGAAACCUGGUGCUUACAAGCUGUGAGAGCGGACUUGUUCCGUGAUCACGUGCCUUUUGCAUAAUGAGUCAGCGAGUUAAUCUGUACUGCAAGGUUAAGCGCAAGUGGAGCCGUAGGGAAACCGAGUCUGACAAGGGCGAUGAGUAGUGCGGAUUAGACCCGAAACCGGGUGAUCUAUCCAUGAGCAGGUUGAAGCAAGGGUAAAACCUUGUGGAGGACCGAACCAAUACCGGCUGAAAACGGUUUGGAUGACUUGUGGAUAGGGGUGAAAGGCCAAUCAAACCCGGUGAUAGCUGGUUCUCCCCGAAAUAUAUUGAGGUAUAGCCUCAUGGAUUGUCUACCGGAGGUAAAGCACUGACAGGGCUAGGGGUCCUACCAGAUUACCAAACCCUAUCAAACUCAGAAUGCCGGUCAGAUGUACCAUGGGAGUCAGACGGCGGGUGCUAAGGUCCGUCGUCGAGAGGGUAAGAGCCCAGAUCAACAGCUAAGGUCUCCAAAUCUAUGCUCAGUGGUUAAGGUGGUGACGUUGUAGAGACACCCAGGACGUUGGCUUAGAAGCAGCCAUCAUUUAAAGAAAGCGUAAUAGCUCACUGGUCUAAUGACGUUGCGCCGCAAAUGUAACGGGGCUAAGCAUAGUACCGAAGCUUUGAAUUCCGCAUAUGCGGUCUGGUAGGGGAGCGUUCUUCACGGGCUGAAGGUGUGUCGUAAGGCAUGCUGGACUGUGGAGAAGUGAUUAUGCUGACAUGAGUAACGAUAAAACGGGUGAAAAACCCGUUCGCCGUAAACCCAAGGUUUUCCGGGUAAAGGUAAUCUUCCCGGAGUUAGUCGGCCCCUAAGGCGAGGCUGAAAGGCGUAGCUGAUGGGAAACGUGUUAAUAUUCACGUACUUGUGUGUUCGCGCGAUGAAGGGACGCAGGAAGAUAGGCAAGCCGGGCGCUGGUUGUCCCGGUGCAAGCGUGUAGGGAUGAAGAGUUGGCAAAUCCGCUCUUCUCUAUCCUGAGACGCGAGUCCGUGACCGAAAGGUCUGAAGUUGUUGAGUCUAUGCUGCCUAGAAAAGCUUCUAAGUAUAGGACACGCAAACCGUACCGGAAACCAACUCAGGUGGGUGGGAUGAAUAAUCCAAGGCGCUCGAGAGAACUCUGGCCAAGGAACUCGGCAAAAUAACCCCGUACCUUCGGAAGAAGGGGUGCUUUUUAGGGUGAAGCGAUUCACUCUGUCGAGCCCUGAAAAGCCGCAGAGAAAUGGUGGUGGCGACUGUUUACUAAAAACAUAGGUCUGUGCCAAGUCGUAUAGACGACGUAUACGGACUGACGCCUGCCCGGUGCUGGAAGGUUAAAAGGAGGAGUCAGCGCAAGCGAAGCUCCGAAUUGAAGCCCCAGUAAACGGCGGCCGUAACUAUAACGGGCCUAAGGUAGCGAAAUUCCUUGUCGGGCAAGUUCCGACCUGCACGAAUGGUGUAAUGAUCUGGACGCUGUCUCAACCAAGAACUCAAAGUAUUUAGACUAGCGGU